AAUAUGCGAUGAAGCAAGAGGUUGCCGGACUUCGGGGAAUUCUUGCUGAGUAUGUCUGAUCAAAGAAUCGGGCGACAA
Regulatory RNA element from Caloramator australicus RC3, 78 nucleotides. It matches the Rfam family "S10-Clostridia ribosomal protein leader". Lineage: Bacteria; Bacillati; Bacillota; Clostridia; Eubacteriales; Clostridiaceae. The record is from Rfam.